GACGAACGCUGGCGGCGUGCCUAAUACAUGCAAGUAGAACGCUGAAGGAGGAGCUUGCUUCUCUGGAUGAGUUGCGAACGGGUGAGUAACGCGUAGGUAACCUGCCUGGUAGCGGGGGAUAACUAUUGGAAACGAUAGCUAAUACCGCAUAAUAGUAGAUGUUGCAUGACAUUGGCUUAAAAGGUGCAAUUGCAUCACUACCAGAUGGACCUGCGUUGUAUUAGCUAGUGGGUGGGGUAACGGCUCACCAAGGCGACGAUACAUAGCCGACCUGAGAGGGGGAUCGGCCACCCUGGGACUGAGACACGGCCCAGACUCCUACGGGAGGCAGCCGUAGUGCAUCUUCGGCAAUGGACGGAAGUCUGACCGAGCAACGCCGCGUGAGUGAAGAAGGUUUUCGGAUCGUAAAGCUCUGUUGUCAGAGAAGAACGAGUGUGAGAGUGGAAAGUUCACACUGUGACGGUAUCUUACCAGAAAGGGCCGGCUAACUACGUG
Molecule: ribosomal RNA, 495 nt
Filed under: uncultured bacterium
Lineage: Bacteria
Description: partial 16S ribosomal RNA
Rfam family: Bacterial small subunit ribosomal RNA
Source: RNAcentral